AGUGAACGCUGGCGGUAGGCCUAACACAUGCAAGUCGAACGGCAGCACAGUAAGAGCUUGCUCUUACGGGUGGCGAGUGGCGGACGGGUGAGGAAUACAUCGGAAUCUACUUUUUCGUGGGGGAUAACGUAGGGAAACUUACGCUAAUACCGCAUACGACCUACGGGUGAAAGCAGGGGAUCUUCUGACCUUGCGCGAUUGAAUGAGCCGAUGUCGGAUUAGCUAGUUGGCGGGGUAAAGGCCUACCAAGGCGACGAUCCGUAGCUGGACUGAGAGGAUGAUCAGCCACAUGGGCUGUGAGACACGUUCCAGACUCCUACGGGAGGCCGCAGUGGGGAAUAUUGCACGAUGGGCCAAAGCCUGAUCCAGCCCUACCGCGUGGGUGAAGAAGGCCUUCUGCUUGUAAAGCCCUUUUGUUGGGAAAGAAAAGCAGCAGUUUAAUACCCCGCUGUUAUGACGGUACCCAAAGAAUAAGCACCGGCUAACUUCGUG
Molecule: ribosomal RNA, 492 nt
Filed under: uncultured bacterium
Lineage: Bacteria
Description: partial 16S ribosomal RNA
Rfam family: Bacterial small subunit ribosomal RNA
Source: RNAcentral